This 253-nucleotide ribosomal RNA is filed under the name uncultured bacterium. RNAcentral's name for it is "partial 16S ribosomal RNA". It matches the Rfam family "Bacterial small subunit ribosomal RNA", at positions 524 to 776 of the family's 1533-position model. The record is from RNAcentral.
GACAGAGGGUGCAAGCGUUGUUCGGAAUCAUUGGGCGUAAAGCGCGCGUAGGCGGUCGUGUAAGUCGGACGUGAAAUCCCAGGGCUCAACCCUGGAAGUGCAUCCGAAACUGCACGACUUGAGUACCGGAGAGGGUGGUGGAAUUCCUGGUGUAGAGGUGAAAUUCGUAGAUAUCAGGAGGAACACCCGUGGCGAAGGCGACCACCUGGACGGUUACUGACGCUGAGGUGCGAAAGCGUGGGGAGCAAACAGG